RNAcentral lists this unclassified non-coding RNA (369 nucleotides) under soil metagenome. Its description in RNAcentral is "partial contains 5.8S ribosomal RNA, internal transcribed spacer 2, and large subunit ribosomal RNA". The stretch from base 1 to 120 matches the Rfam family "5.8S ribosomal RNA", at positions 35 to 154 of the family's 154-position model. The record is from RNAcentral.
GAUGAAGAACGUAGUGAAAUGCGAUAAGUAAUGUGAAUUGCAGAAUCUCGUGAAUCAUCGAAUCUUUGAACGCACAUUGCGCCCUAUGGAAUUCUGUAGGGCAUGCCUGUCUGAGCGUCAGCAGCAAAAAAAUCAAAAUCUUUGUAGGUAAAGAUUUGGAUUUGGUUAAGAGAUGUAAUCUGUAAAGAACCGGUUACUCUUUUGAAAUUUAAAGGCAGUAUUGAUCAAUCCAACUGUAAACGUGAUAAAACAUUUCGUUUUAUUGUUAGGAAUGAGCUUUUUGCUUGCCUAUAAACCCACUCAUCUUCAUGGGUGACCUCAGAUCAGGUAGGGAUACCCGCUGAACUUAAGCAUAUCAUAAGCGGAGGA